Non-coding RNA from Chrysemys picta bellii (western painted turtle), 1514 nucleotides. Lineage: Eukaryota; Metazoa; Chordata; Testudines; Emydidae. The record is from RefSeq and is a predicted model, not a curated record.
GAGAGAGAAGCAGAACUUCUCAUACCCACCAGUUCACGUACAGUCACUUUUGUGGCAAAUCAUAGGGGAGGGAGAUGCCUAGUCUAAUAAUAAUAGUAAUAGAUAGGAGACUGGUAUUUACUCUACUUCAUGGGCUGCAGUGAUGUUCUCCCUUAUUGCUCAGACUCCACUGAUGUUUACAUUUCAGGAUGCUGGAUGUUAUAUCAGGACAUAAGUUGGUAGGGAGGGAAUUGUUUUGUUGAGAAGAAAUUGGAAAUGGUAAGAGAGACGUAUGGGUUGAGUGUAUUCUAAUUAAUGAGAAUUAUGCUGGAUUUUUUUAAAACAAUCCUUCUUAUUUUCAACCUUAUUCUCUUUGGGGUGAAUUUCAUACAUGCUUAUAUUAUCCAGCUGCCUUUUUGAUUCAAAACAUGGUAGACCAUAGAGCCAGCAGGAGUUAAUCGCACAGUCUGAAAAGAAAUGGAUUCUUUUCUCCCUCUGUUCCAUGUUCUCUCUGGCUUCAUCUGCAUUAGGAAGCAUUUAGCAAAUAAAAGAUUAGGCCAUUUAUAUAAAGAUGAUGAUCAAGCCAUGUAUAGAAUGAUGAUGGCUGUCUAAGACAAUAUGCACAGAGGACAGACAGACAGACAGAGCGAAAGAAGAAUAGCAAAUUGCAACUGAAAAAACGGGGGCAUAAAUCCUUAGUUCAGUUGAUCAUAUAUGCAUUAUUUCUUGGGUAUUAUCGUUGUGUUUUCCCAAGUGGUUAGUUGUUGGCAGGACAAGAGAGAGCUCUUUCUGUGUUACAACAUACAAAAGAGAUUAUGCUUAAACGAGCUAGGCCACUUCUACAACAGGUCUCUUCUCGGUCAGCCUUUUUUGCUGUAGCUCUCACGUUAGGACACACAAAUGCACAGCUUGUUCCUAAUAACUGCUGGUUUGUGUUAUUAAUAACGUAGUGCAACUAACCAUGUUGGGUUUUGUUCACAGGUCUGAAGCGUAGUUACACUUGUAACAUCUGUAAUGUCACUCUAAACUCAAUAGAACAGUAUCACGCUCAUCUGAAGGGCUCCAAACAUCAGACCAACCUGAAGAAUCAAUAGUGAUUCAUCAAUCAAAAGAAGGAAAAAACAUCAAGAUUUUUUCUGUAAAGAAGAGUCUAUUAACCAAUAGAAAGGAUGCUUUCUUGGACAAUGAGCAUUUCCUAUGUGGAUUCAUUAAUUAACGUAUAACUAAAUCUUCACUUUGGACAAAUACAUGGAUUUUCUUUUUAAUUUUGUGGUGAGUUAAAAUAUUUGGAUGGAUUUUUUUUUUUACCUUUUCAAGAUAAUAUAGUCAGCACACAGUCUAAAGUAUGAUAAAUAUCCUUUAAGAAACAGCAUCUAAACAUCACUCAUCCUCAAAGACAGUGGAAAUAAAAUAUUUUAUUUUUUUCAUAUUUAUUCUUAGAUUUCUUCUGAGAAUAUAAAAUUGCUCUAUUAAAUUAUCCAUGAUUGUGAUGUAAUCAGUCUUCAACCAGAAAUAAACAUGAUUUCUUCACCUUC